This is a small RNA of Clostridium sp. CAG:590, 133 nucleotides long. It matches the Rfam family "RT-5 RNA". From Rfam's summary of the family: Clostridium (Firmicutes). Environment (Cow rumen (57)) Lineage: Bacteria; Bacillati; Bacillota; Clostridia; Eubacteriales; Clostridiaceae. The record is from Rfam.
CUGCACCUGUGGAGGACGAAGCAUAUUUCUGUUUCUGGAGGAUUAUUUAUAAUCUGCCGGAAAGUCUUGCAGGUGGCUGGGAUAUGUUCAGUCUGGUAGAAUUAAGCACGCUUUAAUUCCUUCAAAGCAUUUU